UUUCUGUGCCCUUUGCCUCGCUGUGACAUCUUUGGUAUAUUACAACUUAUUGCUCGGUCUUUACGGGCUACACGUUGCCUCAAAGAUCACCAUGAUCGCCUCCGACUCAGCCACAUCGAAGAAUCAAAAUGAGCCUGGAGACGCCACAGCCGGAAUGCGAAAGGUUGGAGAAGUGCUCAUUCAGAUGAUCCUGGCACAGAUUGCCAUGGUGGACCAGGCAAGUUUGCAAGGGCCUUGAUUCACCAUGUGUUCACAGAGAAGAACCUCAUGGGCCACUCACUUCUCGAAAACACCACCAGCAAUAGGCAAAAAGAGGCUCUUGGCCUUAUCAGGGUCAACGCUGUUAUAGGCAAGUACCGUACAUCCUUUUUCCCAUUGCAUUUUUGCAUUCACAUUUUGUACUUGGAAUUACCAGCUUGCUAUUAGCACAAC
Dermacentor silvarum is the source of this 432-nucleotide long non-coding RNA. RefSeq lists it as uncharacterized. The record is from RefSeq and is a predicted model, not a curated record. NCBI's taxonomy places the organism in Eukaryota, Metazoa, Arthropoda, Arachnida, Ixodida, Ixodidae. The transcript is spliced from 3 exons.